UACAGAGGGUGCGAGCGUUGUUCGGAAUUACUGGGCGUAAAGGGCGCGUAGGCGGCCCGCUAAGUCGAACGUGAAAUCCCCAGGCUCAACCUGGGAACUGCGUCCGAUACUGGCAGGCUUGAAUCCGGGAGAGGGAUGUGGAAUUCCAGGUGUAGCGGUGAAAUGCGUAGAUAUCUGGAGGAACACCGGUGGCGAAGGCGGCAUCCUGGACCGGCAUUGACGCUGAGGAGCGAAAGCUAGGGGAGCAAACGGG
This 253-nucleotide ribosomal RNA is filed under the name uncultured bacterium. RNAcentral describes it as "partial 16S ribosomal RNA". It matches the Rfam family "Bacterial small subunit ribosomal RNA", at positions 524 to 776 of the family's 1533-position model. The record is from RNAcentral.